CCUACGGGAGGCAGCAGUGAGGAAUAUUGGUCAAUGGUCGGGAGACUGAACCAGCCAAGCCGCGUGAGGGAUGAAGGUACAGAGUAUCGUAAACCUCUUUUGUCAGGGAACAAAGGCGGGGACGUGUCCCCGGAUGAGUGUACCUGAAGAAAAAGCAUCGGCUAACUCCGUGCCAGCAGCCGCGGUAAUACGGAGGAUGCGAGCUUUAUCCGGAUUUAUUGGGUUUAAGGGGUGCGCAGGUGGUAUGUUAAGUCAGCGGGCAAAGCCCGGGGCUCAACCCCGGCCCGCCGUUGAAACUGGGAGUCUCGAGUUGGAGAGAAGUAUGCGGAAUGCGCGGUGUAGCGGUGAAAUGCAUAGAUAUCGCGCAGAACUCCGAUUGCGAAGGCAGCAUGCCGGCUCCACACUGACGCUGAGGCACGAAAGCGUGGGUAUCGAACAGGAUUAGAUACCCUUGUAGUC
Molecule: ribosomal RNA, 459 nt
Filed under: uncultured bacterium
Lineage: Bacteria
Description: partial 16S ribosomal RNA
Rfam family: Bacterial small subunit ribosomal RNA
Source: RNAcentral